GAAGGCGCUGCCUCGCGUUGGAGGAGCUUGCUCUGAGCUGCUGCCACCUGCUGGGCUGGAGCUGGAGCUGGAGCUGCGAAUUCGGAGUCCCGGUUCCCUGUGCCACCUGGCGAGCUCAGCAAACUAAAAGUCUCUUUGUCUUCAUCGUUUCCGGCACUGAUGUGAGCACAUCAUAAGCACAAGACCUGGACACCUUUACAAUCAGAGGUAGCAUCUGUCUGGAACUGUAUCUUGACUCUCACUGGUGCUUUUCCUUUGGUUGAUGCAAAGCUUUUGAAUCCUUUAGGGAGAUGUCAUUGGCCUAGGACUGGAGCUCUGGAUCUGACCGGAGCAAAGAGGAAGCACGCAAAUCCGGACAUGACGACGAGGAGGCAGUAGAGACCCAUCCUCAACUGUGCCCUUGUUGAGCUGCUUGAGGCAGAAGGCACAGACGAAGUGCUCGGGGUGGAACUUCUUGGCCAUGGCGGUGAUGCAGCGGCCGGUGAUGGGCUUCUGGCAGCCAGAACACAGCGAGCCGCGCCGCUCGUGGUAGUGCACCUCACAGUAGGGCUGCCCGUCGUGCUCGAAGAAGCUGCCGUUCACGAAUGGCGUGAAGCAUUCCUGCCAGGCGGAGAGAGGGGCUCAGGGAGCUGCCCCUCGGGCUAGAGCUGCACCCUGUGUGAUGGGGCCGAGGUGGGCAUAGUCGGCACGCUCGGAGUGACUCCUACUUGCUAGGCGUUUCCCAUGUGCCGUGUUGUCCUAAACGCUCAUUUUUCAUUUUUAUUUUAUUAAAUAAAUUUUUUUUGUAGAGAUGGGGGUCUCACUAUAUUGCCCAUGCUGGUCAAAUGUGGCCUCCUGCAAUCCUCCC
Molecule: long non-coding RNA, 847 nt
Filed under: Homo sapiens (human)
Lineage: Eukaryota; Metazoa; Chordata; Mammalia; Primates; Hominidae
Description: HSALNT0370926
Source: RNAcentral